AUUGAACGCUGGCGGCAGGCUUAACACAUGCAAGUCGAGCGGAGUGAUGGUGCUUGCACUAUCACUUAGCGGCGGACGGGUGAGUAAUGCUUAGGAAUCUGCCUAUUAGUGGGGGACAACAUCUCGAAAGGGAUGCUAAUACCGCAUACGUCCUACGGGAGAAAGCAGGGGAUCACUUGUGACCUUGCGCUAAUAGAUGAGCCUAAGUCGGAUUAGCUAGUUGGUGGGGUAAAGGCCUACCAAGGCGACGAUCUGUAGCGGGGCUGAGAGGAUGAUCCGCCACACUGGGACUGAGACACGGCCCAGACUCCUACGGGAGGCAGCAGUGGGGAAUAUUGGACAAUGGGGGGAACCCUGAUCCAGCCAUGCCGCGUGUGUGAAGAAGGCCUUAUGGUUGUAAAGCACUUUAAGCGAGGAGGAGGCUCUUUCGGUUAAUACCCAAGAUGAGUGGACGUUACUCGCAGAAUAAGCACCGGCUAACUCUGUGCCAGCCGCCGCAGUAA
RNAcentral lists this ribosomal RNA (503 nucleotides) under uncultured bacterium. RNAcentral describes it as "partial 16S ribosomal RNA". It matches the Rfam family "Bacterial small subunit ribosomal RNA", at positions 30 to 523 of the family's 1533-position model. The record is from RNAcentral.